Molecule: non-coding RNA, 1027 nt
Organism: Nelumbo nucifera (sacred lotus)
Lineage: Eukaryota; Viridiplantae; Streptophyta; Magnoliopsida; Proteales; Nelumbonaceae
Source: RefSeq, a predicted model, not a curated record
GGAGCAGCAGAUCCCGUCUCGAGGGAAAGAGUGACUGUGAGUUCCUCGUUUUGGCGGUCUUGAAUUUUAUUCGCUUUUCCCGGCUCUCGUGAUUUCUGAUUUUAUUUUUAUUAUUGUUUUUCUGAUUUCGUGGAUUAAUGGAGAAGAUAAGUAUCUCAGAUUCUGAACUAGAAUGUCUGUUUAAUGAGAAGAGAUGCACCAAGAAUCCUCUUGUUCCUAUAGGUUUAUGGUUCCACAGCCCAAUUUGCUUGUGGGAUAGGAACAGUAUAGACAAUAUUAUCAAUUAACAGACCACAUCAAUUGCAGGUGAGCUUUUAACUGGGGUUUUCAUAGCUGGCUUAAUCACUUCCAGACAGGGAAACUCUCAGUUGGGUCAGAAGAUAAUGAAGCGUGGUUGUAUAAGGUGCCACAGUUGCUCUAAUGGUUGGAACUAUAUAAGUGCAAUCAGAGUGCAUACAACUGCUUCUUGAAUAUUCUCUAUUUACCUUUUUGUACAGGUAUUUUUUCCAUUAUGGAGGGUAAGUAUCAUUCUUCUUGAGUGAGAUAUUUUCUUCAUGUUGUUAGUGAAAGUCUUAUUCUAAGCAAGAAGGCAUCCUGGCCCCCAGUGGACCCUUGCCUGUUUCCUUCUCUUUAAAAUAAAGACAUUAGUUGGGUGGAGAAAAUGUUUUCAUGGACCGAUUUAGAAGGAUCUCAUAGUUCUGUUAUGAGGAAUUGUAUGAGGAUGAAUGGUUGAAUCAGCAAGAAAUGGAGAUUUCCUGUUAAAUUCCACUAUGCUGACCAUAUGUGAAAUGUUACAAUACAUGGAUGUGCUGAACUAGAAGUGCCUAUUUCAGACUGAGGUCUUCUGGUAGAUAAUAGGGACCUGCUUUAUGCACAUUUUAUUGAAAAUUUUGGUAAUUGCUUCUAGCUCCUUGCUUUGCAUGGAACAGAAACGACAAUGGUUCUCAAGGUGUUGAGGUCUUCUAAUGGUAACCUUUUCUUGGUGUCUUUAUCCCCUAUCUUUUUUAAUGUCUUCCUUAUUGUCAAA